This 202-nucleotide small RNA is filed under the name Arabidopsis thaliana (thale cress). Its description in RNAcentral is "ATSL135310". Lineage: Eukaryota; Viridiplantae; Streptophyta; Magnoliopsida; Brassicales; Brassicaceae. The record is from RNAcentral.
CUUCCUUCUAAGAAGAUUAUCCGCGACACCGAUAAUUUUUCCAAUUAAGUAUAUCAUGUCUUCAUAUUAAAAUUGAAACUUCUAGUAGUUUUUGUGAUUGUUCUGUUGUUACUUUUUAAUUAGUGUUUCGGUCUUUUCCGCUACUUGUAUAACUUGAUAAUUUUUUUCCAAAAUUAGAAAAUGGUAUAACUACUUAACACUG